CACGCUGACGGCGUCGCGAACUGUUCCCUGAGUGGUACGACUCGGCCGAACUCGUGGUGUAGCCGUGAAUGCUAGAUAUCACGAGGACCCCGAUGGGAGGCAGCGGCGAGUCCCUUACUGACGUUAAAGCUCGAAGUGCGGGUAUCGAACAGGAUAGAUACCUGGUAGUCCGCACGGUAAACGAUGGAUGCCCGCUGUAGGCGAUACAUUGUCAGCGGCCAAGCGAAAGCGUUAAGCAUCCCACCUGGGGAGUACGCCGGCAACGGUGAAACUCAAAGGAAUUGACGGGGGCCCGCACAAGCGGAGGAACAUGUGGUUUAAUUCGAUGAUACGCGAGGAACCUUACCCGGGCUUGAACUGCAGAGGAAGGAUCUAGAGAUAGUGACGCCCUUCGGGGCCUCUGUGGAGGUGCUGCAUGGUUGUCGUCAGCUCGUGCCGUGAGGUGUCGGCUUAAGUGCCAUAACGAGCGCAACCCCUCUCCGUAGUUGCCAUCGGGUGAUGCCGGGCACUCUGCGGACACUGCCACCGCAAGGUGUGAGGAAGGUGGGGAUGACGUCAAAUCAGCACGGCCCUUACGUCCGGGGCUACACACGUGUUACAAUGGGGCAUACAGAGGGCUGGAUAUGCGCAAGCAUGUCCGAAUCUUGAAAGUGUCCCUCAGUUCGGAUUGGGGUCUGCAACCCGACCCCAUGAAGCUGGAUUCGCUAGUAAUCGCGCAUCAGCCAUGGCGCGGUGAAUACGUUCCCGU
This 748-nucleotide ribosomal RNA is filed under the name uncultured rumen bacterium. Its description in RNAcentral is "bacterial SSU rRNA". It matches the Rfam family "Bacterial small subunit ribosomal RNA", at positions 613 to 1377 of the family's 1533-position model. The record is from RNAcentral.